This 562-nucleotide ribosomal RNA is filed under the name uncultured bacterium. RNAcentral's name for it is "bacterial SSU rRNA". It matches the Rfam family "Bacterial small subunit ribosomal RNA", at positions 338 to 916 of the family's 1533-position model. The record is from RNAcentral.
CCUACGGGAGGCAGCAGUGGGGAAUAUUGGACAAUGGGCGCAAGCCUGAUCCAGCAAUGCCGCGUGAGUGAUGAAGGCCUUAGGGUUGUAAAGCUCUUUUACCAGGGAUGAUAAUGACAGUACCUGGAGAAUAAGCUCCGGCUAACUCCGUGCCAGCAGCCGCGGUAAUACGGAGGGAGCUAGCGUUGUUCGGAAUUACUGGGCGUAAAGCGUACGUAGGCGGUUAUUCAAGUCAGAGGUGAAAGCCCGGGGCUCAACCCCGGAACUGCCUUUGAAACUAGGUAGCUAGAAUCUUGGAGAGGUCAGUGGAAUUCCGAGUGUAGAGGUGAAAUUCGUAGAUAUUCGGAAGAACACCAGUGGCGAAGGCGACUGACUGGACAAGUAUUGACGCUGAGGUACGAAAGCGUGGGGAGCAAACAGGAUUAGAUACCCUGGUAGUCCACGCCGUAAACGAUGAUAACUAGCUGUCCGGUCACUUGGUGACUGGGUGGCGCAGCUAACGCAUUAAGUUAUCCGCCUGGGGAGUACGGUCGCAAGAUUAAAACGUCAAAUGAAUUGACGG